RNAcentral lists this ribosomal RNA (432 nucleotides) under uncultured bacterium. RNAcentral's name for it is "partial 16S ribosomal RNA". It matches the Rfam family "Bacterial small subunit ribosomal RNA", at positions 29 to 506 of the family's 1533-position model. The record is from RNAcentral.
AACGAACGCUGGCGGCAUGCCUAACACAUGCAAGUCGAACGAGACCUUCGGGUCUAGUGGCGCACGGGUGCGUAACGCGUGGGAACCUGCCCUUAGGUUCGGAAUAACUCCCCGAAAGGGGUGCUAAUACCGGAGAAUGUCUUCGGACCAAAGAUUUAUCGCCUUUGGAUGGGCCCGCGUUGGAUUAGCUAGUUGGUAGGGUAAAAGCCUACCAAGGCGACGAUCCAUAGCUGGUCUGAGAGGAUGAUCAGCCACACUGGGACUGAGACACGGCCCAGACUCCUACGGGAGGCAGCAGUGGGGAAUAUUGGACAAUGGGCGAAAGCCUGAUCCAGCAAUGCCGCGUGAGUGAUGAAGGCCUUAGGGUUGUAAAGCUCUUUUACCCGGGAUGAUAAUGACAGUACCGGGAGAAUAGGCUCCGGCAAACUCCGU